RNAcentral lists this unclassified non-coding RNA (348 nucleotides) under soil metagenome. RNAcentral describes it as "partial contains 5.8S ribosomal RNA, internal transcribed spacer 2, and large subunit ribosomal RNA". The stretch from base 1 to 120 matches the Rfam family "5.8S ribosomal RNA", at positions 35 to 154 of the family's 154-position model. The record is from RNAcentral.
GAUGAAGAACGCAGCAAAAUGCGAUAAGUAAUGUGAAUUGCAGAAUUCAGUGAAUCAUCGAAUCUUUGAACGCACAUUGCGCCCGCUGGUAUUCCGGCGGGCAUGCCUGUUCGAGCGUCAUUUCAACCCUCAAGCCCCCGGGUUUGGUGUUGGGGAUCGGCUCUGCCCUUCUGGGCGGUGCCGCCCCCGAAAUACAUUGGCGGUCUCGCUGCAGCCUCCAUUGCGUAGUAGCUAACACCUCGCAACUGGAACGCGGCGCGGCCAUGCCGUAAAACCCCAACGUCUGAAUGUUGACCUCGGAUCAGGUAGGAAUACCCGCUGAACUUAAGCAUAUCAAUAAGCGGAGGA